AACCAGACAUAGCCCAAAACUAAAUACGUAUAAUUACCCAAUAUUAUUAAAAUAAAAUAUUUAUUUAUAGCCAAAGUAUAGAAGAUAGAAAUGACAUAUGGCGCCAUAGAGAGAGUACCGCAAGGGAAAAAUGAAAGAAGACUUAAAGUAAAAAACAGCAAAGCUUAUCCCUUGUACCUUUUGCAUAAUGACUCAACUAGAACAAACUAGCAAAAAGAAUUAAAGUUAGUAUCCCCGAAACCAGACGAGCUACCUAUAUAGCAGCCUAAAGGGCAAACUCAUCUAUAUGGCAAAAUAGUGAGAGGACUAAUAGGUAGCGGCGACAAACCUACCGAGCCUGGUGAUAGCUGGUUGUCCAGAGUGGAAUUUUAGUUCCAACUUAAAUUCUACCAAAAAAAAACAAAUUAAAAUGUAGCUUUAAGUAAUAAUCUAAAAAGGUACAGCUUUUUAGACACGGAUACAACCCCUCAUUAGAGAGCUAAUUUAAGUAAAUCACGAUAGUUGGCCUAAAAGCAGCCACCAAAUGAGACAGCGUUCAAGCUCAACAAUUUGUAAAACUAAUUCCAACUACAACAAUUAAUACUCCUAAUAAAAAACUGGACCAAUCUAUUUUCCUAAUAGAGGUAACAAUGUUGAUAUGAGUAAUGAGAAGCAUUUCUCCUUGCACGUGUGUAUAUCAGACCGAAUAAAUCACUGAUAUUUAACAAUAUAAAUAUAUGUAUAUACUAAAAUUUCAUUUAUUAAUUGUUAGCCCAACACAGGAGUGCAGCUAAGGAAAGAUUAAAAAAAGUAAAAGGAACUCGGCAAAUAUAAACCCCGCCUGUUUACCAAAAACAUCACCUCUAGCAUAAAAAGUAUUAGAGGCAUUGCCUGCCCAGUGACAUUAGUUCAACGGCCGCGGUAUCCUGACCGUGCAAAGGUAGCAUAAUCAUUUGUUCUCUAAAUAAGGACUUGUAUGAAUGGCCUCACGAGGGUUUAACUGUCUCCUACUUUUAAUCAGUGAAAUUGACUCUCCCGUGAAGAGGCGGGGAUUAAAUAAUUAGACGAGAAGACCCUAUGGAGCUUUAAUUAACUAGUUCACAAAUUAUAAUUAAACUCCAAAAGAAAUAAACCCAUUUUAAUUGAACUAGUAAUUUAGGUUGGGGUGACCUCGGAGUAAAAAUUAACCUCCGAGAGAAACUGUUAAGACCUACAAGUCAAAACUACUUCACUAAACACUGAUCCGCCACUGGCGAUCAACGGAAUAAGUUACCCUAGGGAUAACAGCGCAAUCCUAUUUAAGAGUCCCUAUCGACAAUUAGGGUUUACGACCUCGAUGUUGGAUCAGGACAUCCCAAUGGUGCAGCAGCUAUUAAUGUGUUCGUUUGUUCAACGAUUAAAGUCCUACGUGAUCUGAGUUCAGACCGGAGUAAUCCAGGUCGGUUUCUAUCUAUUUAUAAGUCCCUCCCAGUACGAAAGGAUAAGAGAGACAGGGCCUACUUUAAAUAAGCGCCCUAGAGGAACGGAUGAACUAAUCUUAAUCCUAUUAUAAUUAUAAUAACCCAAGAUAAGGGCUU
This 1556-nucleotide ribosomal RNA is filed under the name Perimyotis subflavus (eastern pipistrelle). Its description in RNAcentral is "16S ribosomal RNA". It matches the Rfam family "Bacterial large subunit ribosomal RNA". Lineage: Eukaryota; Metazoa; Chordata; Mammalia; Chiroptera; Vespertilionidae. The record is from RNAcentral.